Salvelinus sp. IW2-2015 is the source of this 998-nucleotide non-coding RNA. Lineage: Eukaryota; Metazoa; Chordata; Actinopteri; Salmoniformes; Salmonidae. The record is from RefSeq and is a predicted model, not a curated record.
AGCAACAUUCCCAAAUGCUGAUUGUCUCUCUGUUCACACACCUGCACCUCUCCACAGACCUGCGUCAACCCACCAUGGACUGCUGCAAAYCGGACUGGACAUGUAGGGCUACCUGGUCUUCACUGAAGAGCCUGGAUGAGACGGURCAAAGAAGGAGACGCAUGCUUUGUCUGAAAUGGCACCACUUGAGCAUACAGGGAAAAUGGUGUUGUUUUGGAUGCACUCAGAGAGAAAGAGAGCAGUCCUGUCCUGGGGCCUACAGAGAGGGAGUGGAACGGGGAGAGGUGCCAAGACGGUCCAACAACAAGUAGUCUCACGGUAUUCCCUCCCUCCAUCUUUAUCCGCCGAAGCUGUGGAGUGUGACAAUGGUGUUUGUGUCCUCUGCUAUCAAACGCCAUUAUCACACUAUAUAGCUACGGUGAGAAGAGAACAGCGUCACUGCGACCCCAUGCCCUGAGGUCAGUCAAACAGAGAUAGUGGCGGUGAAGUAAGGGUCACACCGGCCAUGGCCAUAUAUCCUGGUUGGUUAACUCAAUGUGGUUUGGUGCUCUCUUCACAGGCCUUGAAUCUUGUUGUUGCUGGUUUGAUAGUGGAUUGUUGUUGCAUGUAUUCCUCCUACCCACCAUKGGAAAUAAGGUAAUAAACUAAAUACAGAGAGCGUAUAAAGUUUGUAGUUUGAGUAAAGUUUGGCUGGCAUUUGGCUGGAUGAGAUUUUAAUAUGACUAGUCGUGAUUGGUCACAUGCUGACCGCAAUGUAAGUGUUAAAAACAGACGUGUGAUACAGUGCCAAAACAUGAAGCUUCAGAUGCUUGCUGACCCAUUUCCUUCUCUGCCUACACGUUAUACUGUGUUACUAAUGCACAGACAUCUUUUAGAGACCAAGAUACAUGACCCAUUGUGUUUUCAUGUGAUGCUGGAGGAAAACGCUAUUGUGUCUUCUGUGCUGUCUAUGUUGUUGUCAAUGAAACCAAAUUAAAAACAUGUCUCUACUUACAUAA